Lactuca sativa (garden lettuce) is the source of this 968-nucleotide non-coding RNA. Lineage: Eukaryota; Viridiplantae; Streptophyta; Magnoliopsida; Asterales; Asteraceae. The record is from RefSeq and is a predicted model, not a curated record.
UAUACGAUUUCUUCCCCUCUUUCCUUACUGAUUCCCUAAAUUUUGGGAUUCAAUAUUUUCCGUUCAAUUUCCCCUUCGCCAUUUUUAAAAUCCUACCGAGGAAUUUAUCUCUCUCGUAUACAUGUACCUAUAUUAUAUGCAAGGGUUCCAUGUUUUUGGCCGCCUUGAUGGUCUGCCUCCAUACGCUAAUUACAGUCAACUUUCUGGCCACCUUCCCAUCCCUGCAUUGGGUUUAAGGAUCCGAAAACGGCACUUCACAUGUGCCCUUUUAUUUUCCAACCCUCUAAUGGCUUAUAGAUCGACCAUCUACAACUCUCCUUCUCUCUGUCUUUAAGAAAAGUUCUAAUCUCAUCCACCAUCACUAUCCUUCACCACGAUCACCAUGAAAUCACCACCAGUCGCAGUCGCCACCAUCCAAAGACACCACAGUCUCACUCUCAACGCAUAUGCAAAAUCAAUCGAGGAGUGACGAUGACGAAGAAUAUAACACUUAUUAGGUAAUGCGAUUUGAUUCUUAACUUCAAUGUUGAUUUCUGAACCCCACAUAUGGCUUCCUUAAAGGUUGCAGAUAAUAAAUGGUUUGAAAAUAACUGCAACCCCUUCCGUUCUCUUUUAUGGUAUGAUUAGCAUUUUCAUCAACGCAUGCCAAAUGCUUGAUAAAAUGCCCCAUUGAAUCAACAUCAGGUCUUCCCUUUGUUUCUUUGUCUCUCCGGUACCGAAACACACAUACACACAUGUCUAUUUAUUUUUCUUUAUUUCUGGAGCAAGGAUUCAGUUUUGGUUUUAAUAGAGUGCAUAAGCGUGAUUUAUUGGAAGUUUUAAUCAGGUCAGUAUCAAGAUGUUCAUGUUGAUUAAAAUAUUUAUCCUUAGUUCCACAUUAAAUCUAGGUAUGGUGUUUAUGUUCUACAAGUUAGAUUUUGACAGGAUGUUGUCAUAAAAACUGUCACACCCCAAAACCGAGAACGGCG